Molecule: ribosomal RNA, 497 nt
Filed under: uncultured bacterium
Lineage: Bacteria
Description: partial 16S ribosomal RNA
Rfam family: Bacterial small subunit ribosomal RNA
Source: RNAcentral
GAUGAACGCUGGCGGCGUGCCUAAUACAUGCAAGUCGAGCGAACAGACGAGGAGCUUGCUCCUCUGACGUUAGCGGCGGACGGGUGAGUAACACGUGGAUAACCUACCUAUAAGACUGGGAUAACUUCGGGAAACCGGAGCUAAUACCGGAUAAUAUAUUGAACCGCAUGGGUCAAUAGUGAAAGACGGUUUUGCUGUCACUUAUAGAUGUAUCCGCGCCGCAUUAGCUAGUUGGUAAGGUAACGGCUUACCAAGGCAACGAUGCGUAGCCGACCUGAGAGGGUGAUCGGCCACACUGGAACUGAGACACGGUCCAGACUCCUACGGGAGGCAGCAGUAGGGAAUCUUCCGCAAUGGGCGAAAGCUUGACGGAGCAACGCCGCGUGAGUGAUGAAGGUCUUCGGAUCGUAAAACUCUGUUAUUAGGGAAGAACAAAUGUGUAAGUAACUAUGCACGUCUUGACGGUACCUAAUCAGAAAGCCACGGCUAACUACGUG